CAAUAGCGUAUAUUAAAGUUGUUGCAGUUAAAAAGCUCGUAGUUGGAUUUCUGGUGGGAGCGAUCGGUCUGGCGCUUAGCGCGAGUACUUGCAUCGUCUCCGGCCAUCCUUGGGGAGAGUCUGUCUGGCAUUAGGUUGUCGGGCAGAGGAUCUUCAUCGUUUACUGUGAAAAAAUUAGAGUGUUCAAAGCAGGCUUAUGCCGUUGAAUAUAUUAGCAUGGAAUAAUAAGAUAGGACUUUGGUACUAUUUUGUUGGUUUGCGCACCAAAGUAAUGAUUAAUAGGGACAGUUGGGGGUGUUCGUAUUCCGUUGUCAGAGGUGAAAUUCUUGGAUUUACGGAAGACGAACUACUGCGAAAGCAUUUACCAAGGAUGUUUUCAUUAA
This 383-nucleotide ribosomal RNA is filed under the name uncultured eukaryote. RNAcentral's name for it is "partial 18S ribosomal RNA". It matches the Rfam family "Eukaryotic small subunit ribosomal RNA", at positions 592 to 976 of the family's 1831-position model. The record is from RNAcentral.